ACGGAAGGCAGCAGUGGGGAAUAUUGCACAAUGGAGGAAACUCUGAUGCAGCAACGCCGCGUGAAGGAUGAAGGUCUUCGGAUCGUAAACUUCUGUCCUUAGGGAAGAUAAUGACGGUACCUGUGAAGGAAGCUCCGGCUAACUACGUGCCAGCAGCCGCGGUAAUACGUAGGGAGCAAGCGUUAUCCGGAAUUACUGGGUGUAAAGGGAGUGUAGGCGGGACUGUAAGUCAGAUGUGAAAUAUGCCGGCUCAACUGGCAGACUGCAUUUGAAACUGCGGUUCUUGAGUGAAGUAGAGGUAAGCGGAAUUCCUAGUGUAGCGGUGAAAUGCGUAGAUAUUAGGAGGAACAUCAGUGGCGAAGGCGGCUUACUGGGCUUUAACUGACGCUGAGGCUCGAAAGCGUGGGGAGCAAACAGGAUUAGAUACCCUGGUA
Molecule: ribosomal RNA, 434 nt
Filed under: uncultured Ruminococcus sp.
Lineage: Bacteria; Bacillati; Bacillota; Clostridia; Eubacteriales; Oscillospiraceae
Description: bacterial SSU rRNA
Rfam family: Bacterial small subunit ribosomal RNA
Source: RNAcentral